This 380-nucleotide ribosomal RNA is filed under the name uncultured eukaryote. RNAcentral describes it as "partial 18S ribosomal RNA". It matches the Rfam family "Eukaryotic small subunit ribosomal RNA", at positions 592 to 976 of the family's 1831-position model. The record is from RNAcentral.
CAAUAGCGUAUAUUAAAGUUGUUGCGGUUAAAAAGCUCGUAGUUGGAUUUCUGCUGAGGACGACCGGUCUGCCCACUGGGUGUGUAUCUGGUACGGCCUUGGCAUCUUCUUGGAGAACGUAUCUGCACUUCAUUGUGUGGUGCGGUAACCAGGACCUUUACUUUGAGGAAAUUAGAGUGUUUCAAGCAGGCGUGCGCCUUGAAUACAUUAGCAUGGAAUAAUAAGAUAGGACCUUAGUUCUAUUUUGUUGGUUUCUAGAGCUGGGGUAAAGAUUAAUAGGGAUAGUUGGGGGCAUUCGUAUUUAACUGUCAGAGGUGAAAUUCUUGGAUUUGUUAAAGACGGACUACUGUGAAAGCAUUUGCCAAGGAUGUUUUCAUUGA